ACGGGUGCGGAACACGUACGCAACUUUCCCAAAACUGGUGAAUAGCCCUCCGAAAGGAGGAUUAAUACACCGUAACAUAAUGGAGUGGCAUCACUCUAUUAUUAUAGCUCCGGCGGUUUUGGAUGGGCGUGCGCCUGAUUAGGCAGUUGGCGGGGUAACGGCCCACCAAGCCUACGAUCAGUAACUGGUGUGAGAGCACGACCAGUCACACGGGCACUGAGACACGGGCCCGACUCCUACGGGAGGCAGCAGUAAGGAAUAUUGGUCAAUGGACGCAAGUCUGAACCAGCCAUGCCGCGUGGAGGAUGAAUGCCCUCUGGGUUGUAAACUCCUUUUAUUUGGGAAGAAAUGUAGGAAUUCUUUCUUACUUGACGGUACCAAGUGAAUAAGCACCGGCUAACUCCGUGCCAGCAGCUGCGGUAAUACGGAGGGUGCAAGCGUUAUCCGGAUUCACUGGGUUUAAAGGGUGCGUAGGUGGGCAGGUAAGUCAGUGGUGAAAUCUUCGAGCUUAACUCGGAAACUGCCGUUGAUACUAUCUGUCUUGAAUGUUGUGGAGGUGAGCGGAAUAUGUCAUGUAGCG
RNAcentral lists this ribosomal RNA (580 nucleotides) under uncultured Chitinophagaceae bacterium. RNAcentral describes it as "bacterial SSU rRNA". It matches the Rfam family "Bacterial small subunit ribosomal RNA", at positions 102 to 680 of the family's 1533-position model. Lineage: Bacteria; Pseudomonadati; Bacteroidota; Chitinophagia; Chitinophagales; Chitinophagaceae. The record is from RNAcentral.